RNAcentral lists this ribosomal RNA (468 nucleotides) under uncultured bacterium. Its description in RNAcentral is "partial 16S ribosomal RNA". It matches the Rfam family "Bacterial small subunit ribosomal RNA", at positions 28 to 507 of the family's 1533-position model. The record is from RNAcentral.
GACGAACGCUGGCGGCGUGCUUAACACAUGCAAGUCGAACGGAAAGGCCCUGCUUUUUUGGGGUGCUCGAGUGGCGAACGGGUGAGUAACACGUGAGUAACCUGCCCUUCACUUUGGGAUAACUUCAGGAAACUGGGGCUAAUCCCGGAUAGGAGCUCCUGCUGCAUGGUGGGGGUUGGAAAGUUUCGGCGGUUGGGGAUGGACUCGCGGCUUAUCAGCUUGUUGGUGGGGUAGUGGCUUACCAAGGCUUUGACGGGUAGCCGGCCUGGGAGGGUGACCGGCGACAUUGGGACUGAGAUACGGCGCAGACUCGAACGGGAGGCAGCAGGGGGGAAUAUGGCACAAUGGGCGGAAGCCUGAUGCAGAAACGCCGCGUGCGGGAUGACGGCCUGCGGGGUGUAAACAGCUGUCGCCUGUGACGAAGCGUGAGUGACGGUAAUGGGUAAAGAAGCACCGGCUAACUACGUG